Molecule: ribosomal RNA, 463 nt
Filed under: uncultured bacterium
Lineage: Bacteria
Description: partial 16S ribosomal RNA
Rfam family: Bacterial small subunit ribosomal RNA
Source: RNAcentral
GACGAACGCUGGCGGCGUGCUUAACACAUGCAAGUCGAGCGGAAAGGCCACUUCGGUGGUACUCGAGCGGCGAACGGGUGCGUAACACGUGAGUAAUCUGCCCCUCACUUUGGGAUAGCCACCGGAAACGGUGAUUAAUACCGGAUAUGACCAUAUGUCGCAUGGCGUGUGGUGGAAAGUUUUUCGGUGAGGGAUGUGCUCGCGGCCUAUCAGCUUGAUGGUGAGGUAAUGGCUCACCAUGGCUUCGACGGGUAGCCGGCCUGGGAGGGUGACCGGUCACACUGGGACUGAGACACGGCCCAGACUCCUACGGGCGGCAGCAGUGGGGAAUAUUGGACAAUGGGCGGAAGCCUGAUCCAGCAACGCCGCGUGAGGGAUGACGGCCUUCGGGUUGUAAACCUCUUUCAGUACCGACGAAGCGCAAGUGACGGUAGGUACAGAAGAAGCACCGGCCAACUACGUG